Molecule: ribosomal RNA, 560 nt
Filed under: Helicobasidium mompa
Lineage: Eukaryota; Fungi; Basidiomycota; Pucciniomycetes; Helicobasidiales; Helicobasidiaceae
Description: eukaryotic LSU rRNA
Rfam family: 5.8S ribosomal RNA (bases 130-283)
Source: RNAcentral
CAUUAUUGAAGCAUAGAGCGCGCUUUAUUGUGGCUCGACCCUUCACAUCCAUUCACCCUGUGCACUGUAAUCAUUUAUCAUUAAACCCUACUAGUCAAUGAAUGUAAAGGACCUUUAUAAUUAAUAUAAAACUUUCAACAACGGAUCUCUUGGCUCUCGCAUCGAUGAAGAACGCAGCGAAAUGCGAUAAGUAAUGUGAAUUGCAGAAUUCAGUGAAUCAUCGAAUCUUUGAACGCACCUUGCGCCUUUUGGUAUUCCGAAAGGCACACCUGUUUGAGCGUCAUGAAUACCUCAAUCCCCAUGUUAUCUUUUUGAUGCAUGGGUGACUUGGAUGUUGAGCAUUGCUGGCCUGGUUUGUAACCAAGUCGGCUUGCUUUAAAUGCAUCAGCCGGCUCUGUACUUGAUCGGUCCGACUCAAUGUGAUAACAUCUUCAUUGAGGAUUGCAUUGACAUAAAUGCAGCCGGAAAGUACAAAGCAGCUUUCUAGCCUGCUCAUCUUGUGAUGGCACCAUUUUACAUUUUAGACCUCAAAUCAGGUGGGACUACCCGCUGAACUUAAG